RNAcentral lists this ribosomal RNA (1140 nucleotides) under uncultured bacterium. Its description in RNAcentral is "bacterial SSU rRNA". It matches the Rfam family "Bacterial small subunit ribosomal RNA", at positions 188 to 1343 of the family's 1533-position model. The record is from RNAcentral.
GCAUGGCUCAGGGGUCAAAGAAGCAAUCCGGUGAGAGAUGAGCUCGCGUCCCAUUAGAUAGUUGGUGAGGUAACGGCUCACCAAGUCAACGAUGGGUAGCCGACYUGAGAGGGUGAUCGGCCACAUUGGGACUGAGACACGGCCCAAACUCCUACGGGAGGCAGCAGUGGGGAAUAUUGGGCAAUGGGCGCAAGCCUGACCCAGCAACGCCGCGUGAGGGAAGAAGGUUUUCGGAUUGUAAACCUCUGUCCUCAGGGACGAAGGAAGUGACGGUACCUGAGGAGGAAGCCCCGGCUAACUACGUGCCAGCAGCCGCGGUAAUACGUAGGGGGCGAGCGUUGUCCGGAAUUACUGGGCGUAAAGGGCGCGCAGGCGGCCGAUCAAGUCAGAUGUGAAACCCCCGGGCUCAACCUGGGAACUGCAUUUGAAACUGGUUGGCUUGAGUGCAGGAGAGGAAAGCGGAAUUCCUAGUGUAGCGGUGAAAUGCGUAGAUAUUAGGAAGAACACCAGUGGCGAAGGCGGCUUUCUGGACUGCAACUGACGCUGAGGCGCGAAAGCGUGGGGAGCGAACAGGAUUAGAUACCCUGGUAGUCCACGCCGUAAACGAUGGAUGCUAGGUGUGGGAGGUAUCGACCCCUUCCGUGCCGCAGCAAACGCAAUAAGCAUCCCGCCUGGGGAGUACGGCCGCAAGGUUGAAACUCAAAGGAAUUGACGGGGGCCCGCACAAGCAGCGGAGCAUGUGGUUUAAUUCGACGCAACGCGAAGAACCUUACCAGGUCUUGACAUCUCCUGAAUGGCGUGGAAACACGCAGUCCCUUCGGGGCAGGAAGACAGGUGGUGCAUGGUUGUCGUCAGCUCGUGUCGUGAGAUGUUGGGUUAAGUCCCGCAACGAGCGCAACCCUUAUACUUAGUUGCCAGCAGGUGAGGCUGGGCACUCUAGGUAGACUGCCGGGGACAACUCGGAGGAAGGUGGGGACGACGUCAAAUCAUCAUGCCCCUUAUGACCUGGGCUACACACGUGCUACAAUGGCCGGGACMAAGGGAAGCGAAGGGGUAACCCGGAGCGGAACCCAAAACCCGGUCCCAGUUCGGAUUGUGGGCUGCAACCCGCCCACAUGAAGUCGGGAGUUGCUAGUAUCG